This 20-nucleotide ribosomal RNA is filed under the name Thozetella nivea. RNAcentral describes it as "partial 18S ribosomal RNA". The record is from RNAcentral. Lineage: Eukaryota; Fungi; Ascomycota; Sordariomycetes; Chaetosphaeriales; Chaetosphaeriaceae.
CAUUACAGGAUUCGCAAGUC